CCCACACCUCUCAGAGAGAGGAACUGAGGUGGUUGUUCUGAGAGGCAGUGAGCAGGGAGACCCCGAAGCCAAAGGCUGGCAGGAUCCAGCAGGGCAGAGGCCAGCAGGGGAAUUCAGGGAAGAGCCUCAGGGCUGACAAUGGGGACACCUGACUACAGUCAAGGGGAUUCAAAGCACAGCCUGGAACCUGGAGGAAUCCCCUGGAACAUGGACACAGAAAUGCGGACAGCUGAAGCCAUGACCUUGACCACAGGUGAACACACAGUGUUCAUCCCCUCAGGAGGACACAGCUUUUGAGGUACCAUCUUGGAAGCAGAGACCAGACCUCACUAGACACAAACUUCCUGGCACCUUGAUUUUGGACUUCAUAGCCUCUAGAACUGUGAGAAAUAAAUUUUUAUUAUUUAUAAAUUACCCUGUAUUGGAUAUUUUGUUAUAGCAGCAGAAAAGGUCUAAGACAAUGACUGAAGGACAGAGCUAUAGGACUCAAAAGACCCUGGUCUUGAAGCCAGAAAGACCUGGCUUUGCCAGUAGCAUGGUAUUUCAAUUAAGUAUGAUUAAACACUCUUCGAGGGAAUAGAAAGGGGAAGGAAGAAUGGAGAUGGAUCAUUUGUUUCAUGCCUUUUACUUACGUGUAAGGAAUUAUGAGCAGGUGCCUAUGGAUUUUGGAAUAUGCUUCUAUAACACUAUAAAAAUUAGAAAGUGAAACUUAUAGGCACAAAUGUCAGUUUAAAAUUUCUAAUGACAAUGGAAGAAAUUAUUUAGACUCUCUCCUAAACUAUUACACCAUACAUCAUUGCAAAACAUUUUUUUUCAUUUUGCCCAACCUCCACUCCUGUCAUUCCACCACUCCUAUAGUAUCUAAAAUAUAGUUUCUUUUAGAGAGAUUGGUGCACCACUCAACUUGUCAGCUUGAGGGCUUUGAAUGGUGUUUUCUUUUUUUUUUUUUUUAAUUUCAUGGCAAGCUGACUUACAAGUGACUCAACUGUAAGCUAAGACUUAUUAAUAGCAUGGUUUAACCACCAAAGAUAAUGAAUUCAAACAAUGUUACUUACAGCCUUUAAUGUCACAGCCCCUAAAAACAUUGAAAUGUACAUUUUUCACCUGCUAGUCAUCUUCAGUAUUCUGGAGAGGAAAUAUUCUUUCCUGUCCUUACAGUGGUUGUAUAUCUUAAAAGAGGACUAUAUGACACUUGAAUAUUGAUAUUCAACCUUAACCAAAGCAGUCACAAGAAUACAAGCCAUUGGCCUCUGGCCUUUUAGAUAUGUUCCCAACAAGUUCAUGUGUACCCCAUGAAAAAU
RNAcentral lists this long non-coding RNA (1301 nucleotides) under Homo sapiens (human). RNAcentral describes it as "HSALNT0038130". The record is from RNAcentral. Lineage: Eukaryota; Metazoa; Chordata; Mammalia; Primates; Hominidae.